GGCGAGAUGGCCGAGCGGUCUAAGGCGCUACGUUAAGGCAUUCCUUAAUAACAUCACUGGAUCUUUAACUCCACGAUUCUGUAGUCCGAAAGGGCGUGGGUUCGAAUCCCACUCUCGUCA
Non-coding RNA from Podospora aff. communis PSN243, 120 nucleotides. NCBI's taxonomy places the organism in Eukaryota, Fungi, Ascomycota, Sordariomycetes, Sordariales, Podosporaceae. The record is from the annotation of a GenBank genome assembly.